RNAcentral lists this ribosomal RNA (406 nucleotides) under Nyssomyia trapidoi. RNAcentral's name for it is "SSU rRNA". It matches the Rfam family "Eukaryotic small subunit ribosomal RNA", at positions 35 to 419 of the family's 1831-position model. Lineage: Eukaryota; Metazoa; Arthropoda; Insecta; Diptera; Psychodidae. The record is from RNAcentral.
UCUCAAAGAUUAAGCCAUGCAUGUCUAAGUACAAACUAUCUUAUAGUGAAACCGCAAAAGGCUCAGUACAACAGCUAUUAUUUAUUUGAUCAUAAACCCAGUUACUUGGAUAACUGUGGUAAUUCCAGAGCUAAUACAUGCAAACAACAUGGAUCCCUGUAGCAAUAUGGGUGAGACAUGUGCUUUUAUUAGAUUAAAACCAAGAUCCGCUUCACGGUGGAUUUUUUUUAGAUGAAUCUGGAUAAUUAUGGCCGAUCGUAUGGUCUUGCACCGACGAUAGAUCAUUCAAAUGUCUGCCCUAUCAACUAUUGAUGGUAGUAUAGAGGACUACCAUGGUUGCAACGGGUAACGGGGAAUCAGGGUUCGAUUCCGGAGAGGGAGCCUGAGAAACGGCUACCACAUCUAA